RNAcentral lists this long non-coding RNA (1212 nucleotides) under Marmota monax (woodchuck). The record is from RNAcentral. Lineage: Eukaryota; Metazoa; Chordata; Mammalia; Rodentia; Sciuridae.
GUUUGUAUCAUGAGUGGGUAUUGAAUUUUAUCAGUUGAAUUGUUAUGAUAAUCAUGAUUUUCCUGGUUAAUUUUUUUGUCUUGGUAAAUUAUGUUAGUUGGUUUUUAAAUGUUAAAUCAAACUUGCAAUUCUGGAAUAAAUCCAACUUGGUCUUGAUAAGCCUGUCUUUUGAUGUAUCACUAGAUCCAGUUUCCUAUUUUUUUUUUCAGUUUUUUGCAUCUAAAUUCAUGAGAAAGGUUGGCUUGUUAUUGUCCUUUCUAUAAUCUCCUGUAGAAUUUUGUUGUUGUUGUUUUUUGUAGAUGGACACUAUAUCUUUAUUCUGUUUAUUUUAUUUUUAUGUGGUGCUGAGGAUCGAACCCAGUGCUUCACAUAGCCUAGGCAAGCGCUCUACCACUGAGCCGCAACCCCAGCCCUCCUUGUAGAAUUUUGAUAUCAGGAUUACAUUAGCCUUAUUAAAAAGUUAGCAAGGGCUGGAGUUGUGGCUCAGCAAUAGAGCAUUUGACUAGCAUACGUGAGGCACUGGGUUUGAUCCCCAGCAUCACACAUGUACAAAAAUAUUUGACGUAUAUUGUCUCCAAAAGAGUUUAUAAAAGAUUGGUAUUAUUUUUUCCUUAGUAUUUGAAUUCACAGGUAUAACCAUUUGAACUUAAGUUUUUCUAUGUGGGAAAUUUUUCAAUAACAUUUAGAAAAAUGUAUUUUUUCUUGUGUCAGUUGUGGUGAUUUAUGAUUUUGAAAGAAUUUGUCUUGCUUGUUGAGUACAGUGUUCUAAGUAUGUCAAUUAGCUCAAGAUUGUUAAUUAUUUGUUUAAUUGUUCUAUAUCUCUAUUGAUUUUUUUUCCUGCCUGCCUGUUUCAUCAGUUACUAAGGAAUGAGUAUUAUAACUCCUACUAUAAGUAUAGAUUUGUCCAUUUUUUAAUUCUGUUUUUUGUUUAUGUAUUUUGAGCUUAUAUGUAUGCUAAUUUAAGAUUGUUUAAACUUCCUGAAGAAUUUAAUGGUGUAUUAUUGUGAUAUGGCCCUGUGUAUACCUGGUAAUACAUUGUACCUUGAAGUUUAUCUUCUGUGAUAUUAAAAUAGCAAAAACAAUUUAUGUUAGUUAGCAUUUGUGCUGCAAAUCUUUUUCCAUUUUUUCACUUUCAUAUUUCUGAUGUCUUUAUAUUGAUGGUGUCUCUUAUAAAUAGGAUAUAAAUAUAUUUUGUUUCAAUGACCAGUCUGA